GGGGAAUAUUGAGUAAUGGGGGAAAUCAUGAAGCAACAAUACCGCGUGGGGGAAGGAGGUUUUAGGGUCGAAAAGUUCUGUAAUUGGGGAAGAAAAAAAGAGGGUACCCAAGAAAAAAGUCGCGGCACACUGUGUGCGAGCAGCCGCGGUAAUACGGAGGGGACAAGCGUUCUCCGGAUUUACUGGGCGUAAAGGGCACGGAGGCGGUUUUUUAAGUCAGAUGUGAAAGGUACCGGCUCAACCGGUAACAGGCAUUUGAAACUGAAAGACUUGAGUAUUGGAGAGGCAAGUGGAAUUCCUAGUGUAGCGGUGAAAUGCGUAGAUAUUAGGAGGAACACCGGUGGCGAAGGCGGCUUGCUGGACAAAUACUGACGCUGAGGUGCGAAAGCGUGGGGAGCAAACA
Molecule: ribosomal RNA, 403 nt
Filed under: uncultured Acetobacterium sp.
Lineage: Bacteria; Bacillati; Bacillota; Clostridia; Eubacteriales; Eubacteriaceae
Description: partial 16S ribosomal RNA
Rfam family: Bacterial small subunit ribosomal RNA
Source: RNAcentral